ACAAGAGAAAGUGUUCUGGAAGGGGAGAAGAUGGUAGUGUGAAAUGUGGAAGCAGUGGAAGAUGCCACUGCUCAAAGAAGAGGAAACAUAGGAUAAAGAGGUCAAUCAAGGUACCUGCUAUUAGUAACAAGCUUGCUGAUAUCCCUCCUGAUGAUUAUUCAUGGAGGAAGUAUGGGCAGAAGCCAAUCAAGGGUUCUCCUCAUCCUAGGGGGUAUUAUAAAUGUAGUAGCAUGAGAGGUUGCCCUGCAAGGAAGCAUGUUGAGAGGUGCUUGGAAGACCCAUCUAUGCUUAUUGUUACUUAUGAAGGUGAACAUAACCACCCAAGGAUACCAUCACAAUCUGCAAACACAUAAUCCUCAUGCAGUGAUUUCAAGCCUCAUACUGUUCAAUUCGUCUAAACUUAAUUAUCAAUGGCUUCUGUACAUAUUUUUCUUUUUUUCCUUUCCUCCAUCUUUCUUUUCUUUUACUCUGGGGAGUUGGCUUUUCAAAGCCUUCUCAGCAAUUAGGCCAGAGAGCUUGAAGCUAAACACCGAUCAAAGAAAAAUGUAGAAUUGGGGCUUUAAAUUUGAAGAACUUUUUCAUUUUCCAUGAAUCAAUGCUGGAACAGUUUCGGAAAUUUCCCAACUUGGUGGUGGCCUAAGUGUUGUAAUUUUCUUNNNNNCUUUCUGAAUUCUGAUCGACUGUUGUGUAUGAUAAAAAAAAAAUUACAACACUUAGGCCACCACCAAG
This 729-nucleotide unclassified non-coding RNA is filed under the name Hevea brasiliensis (rubber tree). The record is from RNAcentral. Lineage: Eukaryota; Viridiplantae; Streptophyta; Magnoliopsida; Malpighiales; Euphorbiaceae.